CCCCGUGUGGUCUAGUGGUUAGGAUUCCUGACUUUCACCCAGGCUCGAUUCCCGGCAUGGGAA
RNAcentral lists this transfer RNA (63 nucleotides) under Trichonephila clavata. RNAcentral's name for it is "tRNA-Ser". Lineage: Eukaryota; Metazoa; Arthropoda; Arachnida; Araneae; Nephilidae. The record is from RNAcentral.